GUGGCAUACGGCUCAGUAACACGUAGUCAACAUGCCCAGGGGACGUGGAUAACCUCGGGAAACUGAGGAUAAACCGCGAUAGGUCACUACUUCUGGAAUGGGUAAUGACCCAAACCUAUAUGGCCCCUGGAUUGGACUGCGGCCGAUCAGGCUGUUGGUGAGGUAAUGGCCCACCAAACCUGUAACCGGUACGGGCUCUGAGAGGAGGAGCCCGGAGAUGGGCACUGAGACAAGGGCCCAGGCCCUAUGGGGCGCAGCAGGCGCGAAACCUCUGCAAUAGGCGAAAGCUUGACAGGGUUACUCUGAGUGAUGCCCGCUAAGGGUAUCUUUUGGCACCUCUAAAAAUGGUGCAGAAUAAGGGGUGGGCAAGUCUGGUGUCAGCCGCCGCGGUAAUACCAGCACCCCGAG
Molecule: ribosomal RNA, 408 nt
Filed under: uncultured archaeon
Lineage: Archaea
Description: bacterial SSU rRNA
Rfam family: Archaeal small subunit ribosomal RNA
Source: RNAcentral